This 253-nucleotide ribosomal RNA is filed under the name uncultured bacterium. Its description in RNAcentral is "partial 16S ribosomal RNA". It matches the Rfam family "Bacterial small subunit ribosomal RNA", at positions 524 to 776 of the family's 1533-position model. The record is from RNAcentral.
UACGUAGGUCCCGAGCGUUAUCCGGAGUUACUGGGCGUAAAGAGUCUGUAGCCGGAAUAGUAAGUCUAUUUUUAAAUAUCUCGACUCAAUCGGGAAAAAGGGAUGGAUACUGCUAUACUAGAGAAUUAUAGGGGAUGAUGGAAUUUCCAGUGGAGCGGUGAAAUGCGUUGAUAUUGGAAGGAACGCCGAAAGCGAAAGCAGUCAUCUAUAUAUAUUCUGACGGUGAGAGACGAAAGUCUAGGUAGCAAACGGG